Molecule: unclassified non-coding RNA, 227 nt
Filed under: uncultured fungus
Lineage: Eukaryota; Fungi
Description: sequence contains ITS1, 5.8S rRNA gene
Rfam family: 5.8S ribosomal RNA (bases 179-227)
Source: RNAcentral
UCUCCGUUGGUGAACCAGCGGAGGGAUCAUUACUGAGUGAGGGUAUCCGGGCCCGACCUCCAACCCUUUGUGAAUCGUACUCGUUGCUUCGGGGGCGACCCUGCCGUCCGCGGCUGAGCGCCCCCGGGGUCAAUCAAACACUGCGUCAAUUUGUGUCGGAGUACUUGUUAAUGAACAAAACUUUCAACAACGGAUCUCUUGGUUCUGGCAUCGAUGAAGAACGCAGC